AAGUAUUCGUGCGAUCGAAUGCUUCUCUAAUAUCCCCGGGAAGGAGAAUGGCGUUGCUUCUUGGUCGCUCUCGUAUCCAAAAGCUUGCCCUAAUCCCCCAUUUGUAUCGAGGAGGGCAUACAUCGCAACUCGAUUUAACUGAUGAUCAGAUGAGGAACAAACCCUGAUUUUGGCUUCAAUUGAUGCUAGGGCUUCUAAAUUGGGAGCCUGGUAAAUCGAUUUAGAUGGAUGGGAACAAAGAUGAUGCUUUGAAAUGCCUGAGAAUUGGGAAAGUCGCUUUGGAAUCUGGAGACAAGGGUCGUGCCCUCAAAUUUCUCUCCAAAGCUCAUCGCUUGGACCCUAGCCUCCCCAUUGAUGAACUCUUGUCGGCCGCCCUUGGUGGAGAAUCUCAAGAUGAGUCAUCAUCUUCUAAUGGUGUCAAUCCAUCAGAUGCUCCACCUGCAGAAGAGGCUGGCAACACGGACUCUGCUUUUGCUUCAACAGCAUCCUCAUCUACAACUGCCAGAACUAGGAUUUCUUCAAAUGGAUCUGCAGCUAGGGGCUGUACACAGGAGCAGAUUGCCAUAGUGAGGGAGAUUAAAAAACAGAAGGAUUUCUACAAGAUCUUAGAUUUAGAGAGGAAUUGCACAAUUGAAGAUGUCCGCAAGGCCUAUAGGAAGAUAUCUUUGAAGGUUCACCCAGACAAAAACAGUGCACCUGGCUCUGAUGAAGCCUUUAAAGCUGUAUCCAAGGCUUUUCAGUGUCUCAGCAAUGAAGAGAGCCGGAAAAGAUAUGAUCUUGUGGGAUCCGAGGAGCUGAAUUAUGGUGUUGGUAGGCCUGCAGCCAGAAAUAACUAUCAUGGGUUUAAUGGGUUUUAUGAAUCUGAUUUUGAUGCUGAUGAGAUAUUUAGGAAUUUUUUCUUUGGUGGAGGGCCAAUGCAAACCACUCCUUUUGGGACAUUUCACUUUAGGACUGGAGGCAUGGGCAGGCACACAGCUAAUGAGAUGCAUGGUGGUGGUGGUGGUUCUAACCUUCGGAUUCUGAUCCAAAUCUUGCCUGUUAUUCUAUUACUUUUACUGAACUUCCUUCCAUCCUCAGAGCCUGUAUACUCGCUUUCUCAGAGUUACCAACAUGACUACAAGGUUGAAACUCCAAGAGGUGUGCCAUAUUAUGUUAAGCGGGAUAAAUUUGAAAAAGACUAUCCUUACCAAAGUUCAGAGCGGCUUGCUCUGGAGAAACGUAUUGAAAGGGAGUACAUUGGCAUCUUAAGUCAGAAUUGUCGAGUUGAAUUGCAGCGGCAACGCUGGGGUCUAUCAUAUGAAACCCCUUACUGUGACAUGCUGCAGAAGUUUGAUUAGGCAAUCUGAGGUCAUUGCCUGGAGGUCUUAUCCAUAAUAUGGGCAUCUGGCAAUGCAUGACCUUCUACUAUGCCAUUUGGCAUAAGUGGCUUGACAAGUCGGAGUUGAUUUCACAUAUCAUUGCCAACCAAGGAAAUUGGUGAUAUUACUCUUAAAAUGGGGUUGCAUUGUUGAGGUAAGCGCAUAAAAUGGUGCUGCAUUGUUGCAUUGGUGCAAACUUGUUAAAUAGGAAAAGAGAUUGAGAAUGUUCACCCUUUAUUUUUAUUUUUUUUUAAAAAAAGAAAUACUUAUCUUUUUGUUUUUGAAGGAACAACCACCUCUUAUAUCCUAAUCCCAUUUGUAUUCUUUUUGUGUUGAGUGCUUAGUCACAGAGAUGACCAUUACAACUUGCAGAUAAUCUGUAAACCUACGUAUAGGCAUGUAUGCUGUUUUCUGCAAAUCAGCAUUGGAUCAAUGAUUUAGAACAUGAGCAUUUGAUGGAGA
RNA transcript from Dioscorea cayenensis subsp. rotundata (Guinea yam), 1820 nucleotides. It is a transcript of the gene named chaperone protein dnaJ 49-like, with no coding region annotated. Lineage: Eukaryota; Viridiplantae; Streptophyta; Magnoliopsida; Dioscoreales; Dioscoreaceae. The record is from RefSeq and is a predicted model, not a curated record. The transcript has 4 exons.